This 762-nucleotide unclassified non-coding RNA is filed under the name Hevea brasiliensis (rubber tree). Lineage: Eukaryota; Viridiplantae; Streptophyta; Magnoliopsida; Malpighiales; Euphorbiaceae. The record is from RNAcentral.
GGUUUUGAUGCUCAGGAACAUGGUAUGUAUGCAUUCUGUAUUAUUUGGUGUGCAGGUGUUUGAAAACCAUCCAGAAUUACUGCUUGUGGUCCUAUGAAAACCCAUCUUUACUCAACUUAUCUAAAUGGUUGCAACUAGGAUAUCCGACUAACAUUUAGUUAUUCUGAAAAGUAAUUUCUGUUAUUUCUGAAAUACGCAAGGAAUAAUAUGCACGUUAAAAGGAAACUUUAACGAAAUGAAACUAAUUCAAGUUUAGUAAUAGUUUUUGCAGUUUCUAGUGCCUCGUCAAUCUGUUUCAUUUAUUUGUGUUAAUUUUCUUCUUUAGUAGGCACCAAAGUCUGUCCAAUAAUUAAAUCAACAGUCGCUAUUGUUGCUGCAAUACUAGGAGGUUCACUGAUGUCAGGCAUAGUUUUCAUCUGGUAAACAUUAGGGACUUGACUAACUUCUUUUUGUGUUUCUGUAGCCUAAGUAGCCAGGUGAUCGAUAAAGGUGGUGAGGGGGAGGGGGAGGAAGUGGUUGAAUUUGGGACAGCACAAGAGUGUGAUACAUUUAGCUAUUUAAGUGAAUUGAUAAUUCAGUGAGUAAUGAUGUGUCUGUCAUAGUGUAGUCAUAAGCGCAAAAAGCACUAACUAAAGCAUAGCUACAAAUAGGAAAGCGCAUUUAGUGAAGCAAGGGCUUUUUGUGCUUAAAGCGCUGAGCACAAAGAGCCUCAAAUUCAAGGCCAACAUUGGAAGAUACUGAGACUGAUUUAGAUGAAGAUUU